AUGAAGUGGAGCUUGCUCCACGGAUUAGUGGCGAACGGGUGAGUAACACGUGAAUAACCUGCCCUCAAUUUCGGAAUAACCCAGGGAAACCUGGGCUAAUACCGGAUACGUAAACCUGUGGCAUCACAUGGUUUUGGAAAGUUUUUCGAUUGAGGAUGGAUUCGCGGCCUAUCAGCUUGUUGGUGAGGUAAUGGCUCACCAAGGCGACGACGGGUAGCCGGCCUGAGAGGGUGGACGGCCACACUGGGACUGAGACACGGCCCAGACUCCUACGGGAGGCAGCAGUGGGGAAUAUUGCGCAAUGGACGAAAGUCUGACGCAGCGACGCCUCGUGAGGGACGAAGGUCUUCGGAUUGUAAACCUCUUUCAGCAGGGACGAAGCGAAAGUGACGGUACCUGC
RNAcentral lists this ribosomal RNA (400 nucleotides) under uncultured Actinomycetes bacterium. Its description in RNAcentral is "bacterial SSU rRNA". It matches the Rfam family "Bacterial small subunit ribosomal RNA", at positions 69 to 482 of the family's 1533-position model. The record is from RNAcentral. Lineage: Bacteria; Bacillati; Actinomycetota; Actinomycetes.